GAUCAUGGCUCAGAACGAACGCUGGUAGCGUGGAUUAGGCAUGCAAGUCGAACGGGAUCCGGAAGGCAGCAAUGUCGGCCGGUGAGAGUGGCGGAAGGGCGAGGAACACGUGGGCAACCUGUCUUUGAGGUGGGGAAAACCUCGGGAAACUGAGGCUAAUACCGAAUGUGGCGCGGGAGGGCAUCCUUCCAGCGCUAAAGGGGGCGAAAGCUCCCCCUCUUCGAGGGGCUCGCGCACCAUCAGCUUGUUGGCGGGGUAACGGCCCACCAAGGCUUACGGUUAGCUGGUCUGAGAGGAUGGCCAGCCGCACUGGGACUGAGAUACUGCCCAGACUCCUACGGGAGGCUGCAGUCGAGGAUCAUUCGCAAUGGGCGAAAGCCUGACGAUGCGACGCUGCGUGGAAGGACGAAGGCCUUCGGGUUGUAAACUCCUGUCAUGAGGGAAAAGGAGAGGAUACCUAAUACGUAUCCGAUUUGAUGGUACCUCAAGAGGAAGGGACGGCUAACUCUGUGCCAGCAGCAGC
RNAcentral lists this ribosomal RNA (523 nucleotides) under uncultured bacterium. RNAcentral's name for it is "bacterial SSU rRNA". It matches the Rfam family "Bacterial small subunit ribosomal RNA", at positions 15 to 518 of the family's 1533-position model. The record is from RNAcentral.